RNA transcript from Centrocercus urophasianus (Greater sage-grouse), 4382 nucleotides. It is a transcript of the gene named chromosome unknown C1orf52 homolog, with no coding region annotated. The transcript is spliced from 8 exons. NCBI's taxonomy places the organism in Eukaryota, Metazoa, Chordata, Aves, Galliformes, Phasianidae. The record is from RefSeq and is a predicted model, not a curated record.
AUGGCGGCGGAGGGAGAGGAUCCGCUGGGCUACUUCGCGGCCUACGGCAGCUCCAGCUCCGACUCGGAGGCCGACGAAGCCUCGGCCGAGGAGCGGCAGACAGGAGCCGGCGCAGCGGCGGGGAGCAGCCCGGGAAGCCGGCCGAAGCUGCCGCCGCCGGACGAGCUCUUCCGAAAGGUGUCCCAGCCGCCCGCCUUCCUAUACAACCCGCUCAACAAGCAGAUCGACUGGGAGAGCCGCGUCCUGCGGGCGCCCGAGGAGCCGCCCAAGGAGUUUAAGGCGUGGAAGACGAACGCCGUGCCGCCGCCGGAGGUGUACAGCCCGCCCGAGAAGAAGCCUCCGCCGGCCCCCGCCGUCGAUAUGGCCAUCAAGUGGUCCAACAUCUACGAGGACAACGGCGAUGACGCGCCGCGGCCCGCCGGCAGAGCCAGGUUCCUGCCGGAGGAGGAGGAGGAGCACGCGGUGUCAGAUGAUGAAAAAGAUGAUGAACCAGCUUAUGCUAAGAAACGGAAACUAGACUCCGGGGAGAAGACAAAGAGGAAGAAGAACUUGCAGAAAUAAGGCUGGCACCGGUAGGUCACCCAGUCCACCUGCCCCAUUUCCCAUGGGAGUCUGUGCUGGAAAACAGUGCUUCCCUGGAAGACAGCAAUGCAGUGAACGCCAUCACCUCUUUCAGUCAAGCUUCUGCUGAGGACUGCAAUGCUGCUGUACCUGGAGAAGUAGCCAGAACUGAGUGCAGUUGUCUUAAAAGAUGAAUUUCUCCCUGAGGACAUUUCGGCAAGGUGAAGAGAGAGAUUGAUCGUUUCCAGAUGCUCUUUGCUGGCAGGCAAAGAAAAACUAUUUCAGAGACCCUGAUGUCUAGAAGCAACAUCUGUGUCUCACUCUAAGCAGUUGUGCCACUGAGUGGUGGAAGCCAUGGGAUCAUGUCUAUCAGAAGCAAAGGAUGUGCCUCUUGGUAAGCAGUCUUUCACUUCCAGCUGUUAUACUUCUCAGGACAGCCAGUAUGACAACACAUCUGCUUGUGCACACUGAAUCAAAGCAAUCAGCUCUUGUAAGCCUGUCUCCAUUCUGACACUGGUCUUUAAACCACUUAAACUGGUUGUCAUGACUACUGAUAACGAUACUGAAGCUGUGUCCUGUAGCAGAAGUACAGCUUGCCCUGAUGAACGGGACAGAAGACCCUGUCUAGUCCUGGGGGCAGAGGCAGCACUGCACUUUGCAUCUAGAACUGGCAGCGGGAUGGACAGAAUUCUGCUCUCCGGUGACAGAACCCAGGACGCGGGCAGCAUCCCUGGCUGAGCCCUUCUAGGGCCAAAGAAACGCAUAGUGGGCCUGAGGUUUGGAGCUGGGAUGGCCCUACUUUGAGCAAGUAAGUCCUCUGUGGAACUCUGUCCUGGUACUUAUCCCAAAAGUGGUCAGCAACUCAGAUGUGACUUAGUAAGUGAGGAUAAGGAAGGAAAGAGAGAGAAAAGAGGGAAAGGUGAGAGUAUAGUUCUCUGAGAUUGUUUGGGUAGAGCAGGCGAAUACCUAAGGGCCCUCAUUACUGUGCAGAAAGGAAAAUGAGGUUUAGAGGACAGGUUUAGAGCACUGCUUCGCUUGCUGUGUUUCAGAAGACAAGCAGAGGGGGAAGGUGGCUCCAAGUCAGGUUUUAGAGUGUUCUCUGUGAGAGCAGGAUGUAGGUAGGAGGAAGCCAGAAGAAAUUGAACCUCAUCGUUUUUGUGAUUGAAGAAGAACCAGGUACUAUGCCAAAGAGAGCUUUGAAUCCAAACACAUGGUGCUAAUGGUUUUGAUGUGCUGAAGCUGUGGUUGGCCGCCUGUAGUGCUCCAGCGUGGCUGAAAUGCAUUGUCGGUGUGGGGGCAGAGUGUGCCUGUGUCUGUGUGUGUAGCCGACUUUCCCUUUCCAGGCCUGCAGGUUCUGACCUGCCAGCCACUGCCCAGACAGAGCCCUGCCGAUAUGGCAGCACGGCAGCUCAGGUGGGCUGCUGAUGUAGUGGGGUCUGAGCAGGAACCGUAGCCAUGAUGCCUGAUAGACAGCACACGUGGUUAGAAUGUGCUGGGUGGAGUCCUAUUCUGAAUGAUGCUAAAACUGGCAGCUUUGCAGUGGGACCUGAUCUUUCUUUCUUGUUGUUCAUGAAGAUAGAAGCCUCUAUGUGGUUGAAAUCUGUUUUGUUGUGUUUGGUUGCGGGUUUUUAUUUUGAGGAGAAGGGAGGUAACUUCAGGUCUUCAAAAGUAAAAAAGAGAUCAAAACCCUGGCAACUGUUCAAGACAAAUGAGAAACCUCCCAAUGAAGGGCUUUCUGUCACCUUGGAGACAUCAUUUAAAAAAGCGAGGUAGAGUAAUUUUAGUUUCAGACUUCCCUUUGUCCUUGUCCCUCCCAUGCAAAUUCUGUUUUUGUACUUACAUAUCCUGUUUAGUUUUGCUUUUUUUCUAUAUAAACAGGGGAAUUUGGCAAAGCUAGGAGAACACUGGAAAUGACCUUGCACAUGAUGUUUCAGAGCAUAAAACCAGUGCUUGGAAACAGACAAAGUUAAACUUGCCCAAUAACAGAUUAAAAAACAAGAUCAAACAUUUUCAGAUCAUACAGAUAAACAUAAAAAGCUUGGAAGUCUUAUUUUAUAUUCUUGGACUUUUAUGUGUUGCUAGGUCUUUAUUCUGCAGAAGAAUAUGGGAUUUAGGCAACAAGGUUUUUGUGAUAAGAAGAGAGGAUGGAGAAAGAUUAAAUAAGGAAUAAUCUAAUAUGCAGUAUGGAUGUAAUCUAGUAACUAUUCACUGCCAGAAUGGGCACUGUUGUUCUGUGCUGUGGAGCUGCAGGGGUUACCAGGUGAGGCUGUGCCAUGGCUGGAGACGGGAGCAAUUAGAGAGGAGAUUAGGAUAAAGUAGUGCUUCUAUCCACUAAAGAAUGUAAAUAUUUUGAAUAUUUUCAAUAGCUCACACUUCUCAAUACCAAACCUCCUCCAAAUGGUACCAUGCAGGCCAGCUACAGGAAGCACGGAAGCCUUUCUGUGUACCUGAAAUUACCUGAGAUACGUAGGCUUUCCGCUCCCACUCAGAAAAUAUUUCAAAACAAAUUGUUUUAAAACUGACAGAUUAGAUUACAUUUAAAUAUCUAUUUUAUUGUCCUGGUAAUGUUCUUGGAAUGUGGGAGGGAGCCAUGCAGGACGGACCGGCAGUCAGCGUGCCGGUGCCCAGUGCCACCUCCUCCUGCAGGACUGCCACAAGCAGUGCAGGGUGGGAAAAGAUCCUGCACAGGGCCGUGCCAUGGGUUGCACUGCACAGCCACAAGCAGAAGUUGCAUACGCCCCUUUCUAUGCAACACAUUUUAGAAGAAUAUCAUGCGAUCAGAUGUAAGCUGUACUGCUGUGCACGUGUGCACUGCUGUCUGAUGGAGACCACCACUUCUUAACCACAUGCUUAACGAGGCUUAUUCAGUACAGAUUCAAUAUACUAUGUAGUUACUGUGUGAUUUUUAGAUAAUUCCUACACACCACCUUUUCCAUAAAUGCUUUUCAUAGAACAAUCACUGACAUCUUAUCUUCCCCUCCUGGUUGCUGCUUUUGGGAUAACUCUGUGUUUCCUCACAGCCACCCCUCAGUCUGGUGGUGCCUGUUGACGUGUCAUGCUGUAAUGCACACUCCACCUCAAGGAGGAUAAGGUGGCAUUUCAGCUAUGUUCAUGCCAUAGGAUGCCUGCUGCUUUGGAUGAGGGGCAGGGUGGCUGUCAGCACUUCCAGCUCGGGAGCCGUUUUUGAUAGCAGCCAUGGGGAAAGCCAAAGAAGUCAAACGUUGAGGUGAGUUUGGGCCAAGUGUGAUGCCCAUGUCUGCCGAUGACAUCAGUGCCAGGAGGCAAGAGCUUGUGGCCCAUAGCAGGGGCACACUGAGCUGUUGUUAUGGCUCAGGCCUUGCAAGUGUGACCAGUGAAGGGGCGCAGAGCACAGGCAAGAUGCUACACUGGCACCUCCUGUAAGCCAGGACUGACAGAAGAGCUGACCAACACCAGGUUUACGUGUUUAGAAAUAUCUUCUAACAGGAAGAGGCACUUAAAACUAGAUUGGCCUGAACGUGAGCAGACAAGAUUUGUGAUUAAGGCAGCACAGAUUAGUUUAUAAAUGUAUUUUUUCACCUCAAUUUUCUUGGAUUCUGUUGUGUCUACUAAGGGUGAAGCCAAAGAACAAACAUUAUAAGGGACACAAAGAAUUAAAAGAAGCUUGGCCACAGUACCUCCCCAUAAGCUGCUGUGUGACUGCCUUUUGUGUCAUCAUAGUGCUGAAGGAGAGCUGGGAGCGAGCUGUCAGCAGAUGGGCCUGCUGAAGCGAAUCACGUUCUGCACUGUGUGCUCUGCAGCUCCUGAACAAAAUGGGCUGAGCUGGAAACAAAAGCUGGGCU